CUGGUCCAUUUCUAGAAAGAAAAAUUAUGGUUUAUGGUUUAUUGGACUUAUACAAAGAGACAGGUGAUGUUUACUUCAUUUCAUAAAUAAAUAAGAACUCAGACAGCCUUAAGAAUAAUGAGUUUUUCUGACUUUUCUUUCUUAUUCAUAUAUACUUGCAGGGGCCAGCAUAGAGCACGACACUGAGAAAGUGCACAGUAAAGCAAUGCUGAAUAAUUGAUUGCAUGAAUGAAUAUCAGAUAACAUAAGGAAGGAGGCUCAAUGAGAUGAAAUGCAACUCUUAGUGAGAGAAGAGGGACUUUUUAACCCUUCAAAAUCGGUAUCUACUCUAAUGUGUCAAGAGGAGUUAGGCCAUGGACAGGCCCACUGUCAGCAAACCUCAAAUAGACUUGAAGACAUGAAAGAAAAUGGGGAUAGAAGCAAGGGCAUGGCAAGAAAUUCCUUUUUAUGGUAAUAGGGUGGGCCCUUGAGUGUUUGUUCCUUCAAAAAUGGCAUCAAAAACAGUGAGACCUUGAUCUGGGCAACGCUGACUUGGCCUAUUUUUCAUUCUACACAGUCUGGGGAGACUGAGAACUUGGAAAUAUCUUUACAGAGAAUAAAGAGAGGCUCCAAGCAGCAGGCUCCCUCACUGGCGUCAUUAUUUGAGCAUUCCUCGCUGCCUGGUCCUAUAAUAAACCAAAGUGGAAGUAAACUUGGCCAAGUCUGAAUCCUCAGUUUUGGCCAUCUUCAAACCUGAGAUUUAUCUUUUCAGGCCGGCUCAGCUGACGUACUUUCGUCCUUGGGUUCCUUAUCAUCUGGAAGUGACAAAUGGAAGGCCUGCAGUGUCUGAUUUAACUAAGCACUGACUACGGCUCAAGCACUAGGUUAAAAGUAUUUUUUUAAAUAUCAGUUAUUUCUUCUAACACUCCUAUAUGGUAGGAAUAUUUUUAUUCUUAUUUGAGGGCUUUUAGGUUUUGGUGCUUUUUGGUGUUUUGUUUUAUUUUUGCCAUUGUAAGCAAGGGUGAGAUGACCAUUUUUGUCCCAUUGGCAGAUAAUUUCCUUAGGAUGACUUCCCGGAAAUGAGAACAGUUACUCAGUCAAUUCUCUUGAGCAGUUUUAAGGCCCUUCAUGCAGAUUGCCAAAGUGCUUUCUGGAAGGUCAGUACCAGUGCACCCUGAGGCCGGCAGGACAUGUGCUUGCUGGUGUCUCAAAGCCUCGCUAGUACAGUGAUGCGCAGCAUGGAGAGUACCAGAAGCUCAUCUUUUUAAUGUACUUGAAAACAAGCUGGAAAGAACCUGGGCUGAGAUGAGAAACCUGGUCCCUGCUCACCACUGACCCUGUGUGACAACCAGUUAGUGCUUCCCUCUCUCUGGGUCUCAAUUUUCUUUAAGUGUGGAAUGCGGAGGGCAGAACAGAAGAUAGUGUACGCUUUUUCAACUCUCAUUUUCCUUGACACUUUGGGAGAAUACAAAAUCUCUUCAGUCAAGAGGUGGCUCAGAACAUAAAUUAGACAAAUUUCCAUAUAACACCUCCAGUUGUAUAUAAAAACUGCUGAGAAAUUGGGUUUUAGAGGUGAGCUUGGUUUUAAUUCUAUCUUCACCAUUGACUCCUUGGGAGAUGGUACAAAAUCAUUUCUUCUUUCUGAGCUCUGGUUUCCACAUCUGUAGAAGGUAGAUAACAAUGUCAUAGGUUUUUAGAAAGGUCAAACAAGUAACGUAUAUAAAGCAUGGCACAUAGUAAGAGCUCAACAAAUAGUAGAUCUCUUUAUAGAGGUAAAUGUAAUACUUCCUUUCCUCCUACUUUUUUUUGAAAUUUUGAUUUCAUUUUUAUUUGAGAUUAUUAUUUUAUAUGUGUAUAUAUAUUUAGCUUUUGAGGAAUAAUUUAUAUACAAAAAAUUGCACACAUUUCACGUAUAUAGUCACGCACUGCAUAACAACAUUUUGGUCAAUGAUUGCUCCCAUAUACGAUGGUGGGCCCAUAACAUUAGUACCAUGCAGCCUAGGUGUGUAGUAGACUAUACCACCUACGUUCAUGUAAAUACACGCUAUGAUGUUUGCACAACCACGAAACCACCCAACGAUGCAGUUUUCAGAACAUAUCCUUGUUGUGAAGCAAUGUAAGUGAUGACUGUACAUCUUGAUGAAUUUGGACAUAUGCAUACACCUAUGAUACCAUCACCACAAUCAAGUUACUAAACGUAUUCAUCACCUCCCAAAAUUUCCUUGUGUUCUAUUUAUGUGUGUGGUAAGAGCAUUUAAUAUAGGAUCUGUCCUCUUCCCAUAUUCUAAAGUGCACAAUACCAUAUUGUUAACCGUAGGUGUUGUGUUGCACAGCACAUCCUCCUCCCACUCGUGAGUAAAGAAUAAUGGGGUUCUUUUUUGUUUGUUUGUUAUACUCCACAGAUAAGUGAGAUUAUGCAAUAUUUGUCUUUCCGUGUCUGGCUUAUUAAAGGCACCUCUAAAUAACUAUUCAAAGAUCCUGAGCACCCAGAGGCUUCAGGAUUCUGGUUUCUUAGCCUAGGCAUCGGCAGUUUCCAGCAUCUUCCAACUUAACUUCCCAGCCCUGAGCACCAUCCACCAAGUCCAUGCGUUUUCAGAUUUAAAGCAGAUUUGAGAGUUCCAUGUUGACCCUCCAUGUAACUAGAGGCACCAUUGCAUGGGUACAAUUCUGUCCCUGACAUCACCAGUUGGCCUCAGUGACUUUGAUAAUGCAGCAGUUUGCUAAUGUCUCUGUCAGUUCAGGGAACUCUUUGAG
Molecule: long non-coding RNA, 2733 nt
Filed under: Equus caballus (horse)
Lineage: Eukaryota; Metazoa; Chordata; Mammalia; Perissodactyla; Equidae
Description: lncRNA (ENSECAG00000057746.1)
Source: RNAcentral